UGAUAUUAGAGGACGGAUUUCCGUCUGAGACGGGAAACUCGUCCAGAUAUAAAUUCGGUUAAUUUAAUUUUUUAAUUAAUUUUUUAAUUUAAUUAAAAAAUUAAAUUAACCGAAUUUAUGUAUAUCUGGACGAGCUUCCCGUCUCAGACGGAAAUCCGUCCUCUAAUAUGA
Non-coding RNA from Paramuricea clavata, 171 nucleotides. The record is from the annotation of a GenBank genome assembly. NCBI's taxonomy places the organism in Eukaryota, Metazoa, Cnidaria, Anthozoa, Malacalcyonacea, Plexauridae.